CCUGAUGUGAAAUAACCCUACACUGGCUUUGUUUACAGGCAAGGAUUUCCUUCCCUAAUAAAUGAUUGAAAGUGUUCAGUCAAUUAACUCUCCAGAGUGGUUAAUUUAGUAGUUUCCUGAUCAUUAACAGGCAGUUCUUGAAAAGCAUUAACACCACACCAAGAGUGGAAAUUUGUAGUUUACACCUAUGAAGACCUAACAUCAGUCCUUAUAAUGCUGCAUUGUUUGACUGAGCAGUAUUCCUUUUGUCUCCAUAGUCUCUUUGCUCUUGGGCAUCACUCAGAUGGGGAGAUAUGGAAGUGAAAUAUGGAAAUCUACUGCUCCAGAGGCAUAUUAAUAUGUAUGUUGGUCCAUUUGCUGUGUAGGUUGUUGAAGACUCUAGGAUGUGCUUGGUCUCCUUGAAACAAAGAACCAGCUGUCCCUGGUGUCCAACCACAGACCUGAAGGAUGUUCUGCGCCCUGCAGGUAUAUUCUCCUUAUUUCCAUGCUUCUAGCUUUCACCCUGCAUAUAUAUUGCACACACAGAUUUCUCCUCAGUCGAGUUUGCAUGAGAAAGCAAAACAAGAAUAUCCCAGGCAUUUUUGCCUCUUCUUCAUGUCUCAGUUCACAGCUCCAGACUGGCCUUUGGUGGGACAUCCUUAGUGGAGAAACCUUGUUACUGCCUCGAGGCAAAGGGCAGGAUGUUUAGCUGUGUUUGCAAAACAGGUUAAAAAUAAACUAAAAGCUAUGGAUCCGUGAGCAGAAAGUGCAGCAUCCAGCAGCAGCUCCAAAGCUGGCCCCAAAUGCGCACCGUAGUGGAGGUGCUGCCUGUCCUUCUGCCAGCACCAGCACGGAUGAAAUGCCGGGUCUGCCUUCCCCUGGAGGCACAAUAAGCCUCUGUUUUCCAAGCAGGAAAACAUUUCCAUUUCAGGGGCAGCAACUGCCUGCCAGAAACACAGCACACAGAGAUGUGAGGGCGAGUGCCCCUGCUGAGAACCGGGAGCCUCCUGGGGAAGCACCACCAACCACACACAGCUGGGAUGUCCCACUAGGUGUGAGUGUCCUGAAACAUCCAUGGGCUACAGAAAGCUCUGUCUCAGCUUUUCAGGAGUUUAAAAUGAUGCUUUGAGCUGUGUGCUGGCAUUCAGCCAGAGGUGAUGCCAGGAACAGAGCCCACUGCUUUCACUGGAAGUCUCUGAAUGGGAAUCUUGGUGUACUUUACAUCGUCAAGAGAAUAUCCAAAGGAUUUCAGUGCAGGAAAGUUCUUUGGAAUAACUUCAACACUGGGAAAAAUGAUGUAAUAAAUAAAAAAAAAAUGUAAUAAAAACUUGGCA
RNAcentral lists this long non-coding RNA (1313 nucleotides) under Cyanistes caeruleus (blue tit). RNAcentral's name for it is "lncRNA (ENSCCEG00000000171.1)". Lineage: Eukaryota; Metazoa; Chordata; Aves; Passeriformes; Paridae. The record is from RNAcentral.